RNAcentral lists this ribosomal RNA (240 nucleotides) under Triticum aestivum (bread wheat). RNAcentral describes it as "partial small subunit ribosomal RNA". Lineage: Eukaryota; Viridiplantae; Streptophyta; Magnoliopsida; Poales; Poaceae. The record is from RNAcentral.
AUGAGGGUGGAAGAUGCCGGAGAGCUGGAAGGCCUCGGGGCGCUGCAAAUCGCCGCCUGCAGAGGGAGGCUGGAGGUGUGCAGGUACCUGGUCGGGGAGCUGCGGGUAGAUGUGGACGGGGUCGACAAGAAAGGUCCAUUUCUGUUCGAAACCCUCGAUUUUGUUUCUGAUAUUUGCUUGAGAUUACUUACCACACUGACCGUGGGGUCAACCCUCAGAUUUAUUGGUUCUGUUCUGUGA